Myxocyprinus asiaticus (Chinese sucker) is the source of this 1093-nucleotide long non-coding RNA. RefSeq lists it as uncharacterized. The record is from RefSeq and is a predicted model, not a curated record. The transcript is spliced from 4 exons. Lineage: Eukaryota; Metazoa; Chordata; Actinopteri; Cypriniformes; Catostomidae.
GGAGUAAGGAGAAAUUUGGGCACAGUCAUAGUCUGAAGAAACUGCAAAGAGCUCGUCACAGGUUUGUGUUAGGGGAGUUUGCUGUCACUGAUGAGGAUGCAAGUUUGAGGGACAUGUAACUAUUUUGCAUGUACUGUAUGGCAAGAUGCUACCAGAUACCUUGAUUGUUAAAGACUGGAUGCAGCAAACUUUUUCAUGGCGGAGAAGGGAGACAGAAGAUGGAAUGACUGGUGGAUAAAAACUCUCCAAUUUAUGUGAUGAAAUUGACCGAAUCCAUUCAUCAACUGUCCAGUGCUUCAAGGAGGGCUUCACUAGUACUGUGCAUGAGCUUGCACUAAGAAAAAUCCUUUUGGCCAAAAUAUACAAUGAAGCAAGAGAGGAGAUGCUUGCAGAAGAUCUUCCAGUGUGAUGCUGAUACACCAUAUGAAAAUGAAUUUCACUAGGACGGUUCAAGCAUACUUUCUUUUUUAACAUUACUUUUUUUGCCCUAUAUGAAAAAUAUGCUCACUUCCUGCAAUGUGCUAUUGCAAAGAUAUGAGUCAAGAAUCAUUCAAAGACGUCCUGUAUUCCAGAAAAGACUAUUAACACCGAAAAAUAAAAAUUUCAUAUUAAACUCACCCUCAUGAUGUUUCAAACCUGUAUGACUUUCUUUUCUUAUGUGGGGACAGAAAAGGAGAUAUUUUAAUGAAUAUCACAGCCCACCCUUUCAAUGCAAUGGCGGUGGAUAGAGGCUCAAUUUAAAGCUUAGAGGACCCAAAAUGUGUCAUAAAAGUAGUCCAUGUGACUUGUGCGUCUAAUUUUUUAUGAUGUCUGAAGGCAUAUGAUAAUUUCUUUUUUGUGAGAAACAACCUGAAAUGAGAGAAGCUCCUUCAAAGUGGUUUGUGUGUUCACGCGUUAAUUUUGUUCUUUUUUUUUAAGCUUUAAAUUGAGGUACUGUCAACUGCCAUUGUGUUGAAAAGAUAGCCUGUGAUGUUCAUUAAAACCUCCUAAAAUUUAUUUUUAGGUGAGUAUUAAAGGGUACUUAAGUUAAAAUGAAAUGUGUAGUAAUAUUUUUAAAGCGAAAUGGCUAAAAAUAAAUAUGUAUCCUACUGUA